Molecule: long non-coding RNA, 599 nt
Filed under: Linum usitatissimum (flax)
Lineage: Eukaryota; Viridiplantae; Streptophyta; Magnoliopsida; Malpighiales; Linaceae
Description: long non-coding RNA (LUSI_LNC003335)
Source: RNAcentral
GAUUUUGCUUUGAAACUGAGAUUUGACAAGAACCCUAACUCACAAAUCUCGAAGAAGAUAAGAAAUGAGAAAAUGGAACACAGAUCGUUUGUUUCUCAAACCGAUUCAGACAAUAGAAGAACAAUCGCGGUUCUUGGGCUUGGAGCAGUUCAGCCCAACAACCUUGAUAAAACAGUAAAUUGGCCCAGUCCACAAGCAGCCUUCUUCCUCACUUUAUAGAAGGAGAAGUAUUGUUUUGUUUCUGGAAAUGCAAUCAGAACAGUAAGAGCAGACAAGAACAAUAAGAACAGACACAACAUCAGAUUUAACGUGGUUCCAUCAAAUCAACUUGAGUUUGUCGUCAAAUUUCGCUCAAAGGUUUCCUACAGAGAGUUUGAAAGUUGUUUUAAUUAAUGCUAUUCAAGGAUUACAAUUUACAGAAUUAAUAAACCCUGAUGCUCCUUGCAGCGUUCCUAGCUCCUCGCUACGUUAUCCAAUACUCGCUAGCUCCCUGCUAACUUGUAUCUUUUCUAGUAUUUCCUCAAUUUAAGAUCUCUAUUUCAUUAGAGGCUAUUAGUGCCUUAUUUAUAGAAAUCCGAUUGCCACGAGAUAAACUUGAC